AUAUAUAUAUCAACCAUUCUCAUUGUUGAGUGGUUUGGAUGUGGGGGUUUGCUGGCCUCUUGAAUGAGUUCAGCUCCCCUGAAAUUCAUUAGCAGAGCGACCCUGUUCAUUGGUGUGAUAACUAUCUACGCUAUUGAAUGUGAGGGGCAGUUCAGCUUUCUAACAGUCUUUGGACAAUUUAUCAUUU
This 187-nucleotide unclassified non-coding RNA is filed under the name Cortinarius suberi. RNAcentral describes it as "partial internal transcribed spacer 2". The record is from RNAcentral. Lineage: Eukaryota; Fungi; Basidiomycota; Agaricomycetes; Agaricales; Cortinariaceae.